RNAcentral lists this non-coding RNA (1310 nucleotides) under Gillisia limnaea DSM 15749. RNAcentral's name for it is "Archaeal large subunit ribosomal RNA". It matches the Rfam family "Bacterial large subunit ribosomal RNA", at positions 15 to 1334 of the family's 2925-position model. Lineage: Bacteria; Pseudomonadati; Bacteroidota; Flavobacteriia; Flavobacteriales; Flavobacteriaceae. The record is from Rfam by way of RNAcentral.
GGGCGUAUGGGGAAUGCCUAGGCUCUCAGAGGCGAAGAAGGACGCGAUAAGCUGCGAAAAGCUGCGGGGAUUGGCACAUACAAAUUGAUCCGCAGGUAUCCGAAUGGGGCAACCCACUAUAUUGAAGAUAUAGUAUACCGUAAGGUAGGCAAACCCGGGGAACUGAAACAUCUAAGUACCCGGAGGAGAAGAAAACAACAGUGAUUGCGUAAGUAGCGGCGAGCGAACGCGUAGUAGCCCAAACCGGUAUUGUUACGGCAAUGCCGGGGUUAUAGGACCACGAUAUUGGUUGUGAACAGAAUUAGAACACGUUGGAAAGCGUGGCCAUAGACGGUGAUAGCCCGGUAUAGGUAAUGAACAUAAACCAUAGUGGUAUCCUGAGUAGUGCGGGGCACGAGAAACCCUGUAUGAAUUAGGCGGGACCAUCCGCUAAGGCUAAAUACUCCUGAGAGACCGAUAGUGAACCAGUACCGUGAGGGAAAGGUGAAAAGAACCGUGAAUAACGGAGUGAAAUAGAUCCUGAAACCAUACGCUUACAAGCGGUCGGAGCCCUUUAGGGGGUGACGGCGUGCCUUUUGCAUAAUGAGCCUACGAGUUACCGUUGCCAGCAAGGUUAAGUCUUUAAGAGAUGGAGCCGUAGCGAAAGCGAGUCUUAAUAGGGCGCUAUAGUUGGUAGUGGUAGACGCGAAACCGUGUGAUCUACCCUUGGGCAGGUUGAAGCUGUGGUAACACAUAGUGGAGGACCGAACCCGUUGACGUUGAAAAGUCUUGGGAUGACCUGAGGGUAGGGGUGAAAGGCCAAUCAAACUCGGAAAUAGCUCGUACUCCCCGAAAUGCAUUUAGGUGCAGCGUUGAUUUAAAGUUUUAUAGAGGUAGAGCUACUGAUUGGAUGCGGGGGCUUCACCGCCUACCAAUUCCUGACAAACUCCGAAUGCUAUAAAAUGUUGAUCAGCAGUGAGGGCAUGGGUGCUAAGGUCCAUGUCCGAGAGGGAAAGAACCCAGACCAUCAGCUAAGGUCCCCAAAUGUAUAUUAAGUUGAAGAAACGCGGUUGAACUGCCCAGACAGCUAGGAUGUUGGCUUGGAAGCAGCCAUUCAUUUAAAGAGUGCGUAACAGCUCACUAGUCGAGCGGUUCGGCAUGGAUAAUAAUCGGGCAUAAAUAUACUACCGAAGCUAUGGAUUUCAUAUUUAAGUAUAUGGAGUGGUAGGGGAGCAUUGUAAUGGGGUUGAAGGUGUGCUGUCAGGCAUGCUGGACUAAUUACAAAAGAAAAUGUAGGCAUAAGUAACGAUAAUGCGGGCGAGAAACCCGCA